CUCUGGGUAGUACAAAUGGUUAACACAUUCAGCUGCUAACUGAAAGGUUGGUGUUUUGAGUCCACCCAGAGU
RNAcentral lists this transfer RNA (72 nucleotides) under Loxodonta africana (African savanna elephant). It matches the Rfam family "tRNA". Rfam says of the family: Transfer RNA (tRNA) molecules are approximately 80 nucleotides in length. Their secondary structure includes four short double-helical elements and three loops (D, anti-codon, and T loops). Lineage: Eukaryota; Metazoa; Chordata; Mammalia; Proboscidea; Elephantidae. The record is from Rfam by way of RNAcentral.